UGGGGGCCGGCGAUGCGUCCU
RNAcentral lists this non-coding RNA (21 nucleotides) under Arabidopsis thaliana (thale cress). Lineage: Eukaryota; Viridiplantae; Streptophyta; Magnoliopsida; Brassicales; Brassicaceae. The record is from RNAcentral.